CGAGGCCACUGGGUUGGGCUGAUGGUAUCAAGGAACCCAAGAAACAACAGAGAGACUUAAAAACGUGCUGCCACGUCAGAUGACACUUUGGCCUAAGUUAUGGAAAAUGCAGUUGCUGAAACGUGAAUUCGCCAGCUCGAAGAUACGCUACUCCAAACACAGUGGCAUUGAUCCCGAUGUUCCCUCCUGCUGAGCCCCAGGCUCACCUGUGCCCUUCACCUGGAAGUCAGUGCGGCGCUGCAGCGUGGAUGGCAGCUCAUUCAGCCGUAGGCUCAGCUGCCGUUUGAAAGUAUGAUUUAAGAGUACGUUGCAUACAAUAAACAAGGCAUGGAAACAACCUAAAUGUCCAUCAAUAGAUGAAUGGAUAAAGAAGAUGUGGUAAUAUAUAUACAAUGGAAUACUACCCAGC
Delphinapterus leucas (beluga whale) is the source of this 409-nucleotide long non-coding RNA. RefSeq lists it as uncharacterized. NCBI's taxonomy places the organism in Eukaryota, Metazoa, Chordata, Mammalia, Artiodactyla, Monodontidae. The record is from RefSeq and is a predicted model, not a curated record.